AGAAUUAGGGUUUGACUCCGGAGAGGCAGCCUGAGAGACGGCUACCAGUUCUAAGGAACGCAGCAGGCGCGCAAAUUACACAAUGACAGUAAACUGUUGAUGUAGUGACAAGAGGUAACGGGGCGGUCCUCUAUGAGGCCCGUCAUUGUAUUGAGUAAAACUCAAAAUAUUUAACGAAACCAAUUGGAGGGCAAGUCUGGUGCCAGCAGCCGCGGUAAUUCCAGCUCCAAAAGCAUAUAUUAAAGUUGUUGCGGUUAAAAAGCUCGUAGUUGGAUCCAUGACCUCGGAGGGCGGUCCCCCACUGGGUGCGUACUGCUGCUCCGAGUCCUAUCUGUCAGUUUGUCUGUGUUGCCUUUAAUCGGGUGGCACAGGUGACUGACGUGUUUACUUUGAAAAAAUUAGAGUGUUUAAAGCAGGCGUUGAAUGCCUGAAUAGUGGUGCAUGGAAUAAUGGAAUAGGAUCUCGGUUCUAUUUUGUUGGUUCAAGAGCAUGAGAAAAUGAUUAAGAGGGACAGACGGGGGCAUUUGUAUUGCUGCGUUAGAGGUGAAAUUCUUGGAUCGUAGCAAGACAAACUACUGCGAAGGCAUUUGCCAAGAAUGUUUACAUUAAUCAAGAACGAAAGUUAGAGGUUCGAAGGCGAUCAGAUACCGCCCUAGUUCUAACCGUAAACCAUGUCGACUAGCUAUCUGUCAGCGUUAAUAAUGACCUGACAGGCAGCUUACCGGAAACGAAAGUUUCUCGAUUCCGGGGGUAGUAUGGUUGCAAAGCUGAAACUUAAAGGAAUUGACGGAAGGGCACCACCAGGAGUGGAGCCUGCGGCUUAAUUUGACCCAACACGGGAAAACUCACCCGGCCCGGACACCGUAAGGAUUGACAGAUUAAUAGCUCUUUCUCGAUUUGGUGAUUGGUGGUGCAUGGCCGUUCUUAGUUGGUGGAGCGAUUUGUCUGGUUAAUUCCGAUAACGAACGAGAUUCUAACUUACUAACUAGUUCCACGAUCCUUGUGGUCCUAAAUACUUCUUAGAGGGAAAACCGGCAUUUAGUCGAACGAGAUUGAGCAAUAACAGGUCUGUGAUGCCCUUAGAUGUCCGGGGCUGCACGCGUGCUACACUGAAGGAAUCAGCGUGUUUUUCCCUUGCCUGUAAUGGCUGGGUAACCGACUGAAUCUCCUUCGUGCUAGGGAUAGAUCAUUGAAACUAGUGAUCUUCAACUUGGAAUUCCUGGUACGUUUGAGUCAUAAGCUCAAGCAGAUUACGUCCCUGCCCUUUGUACACACCGCCCGUCGCUACUACCGACUGGCAAUAUCUUUGAGACACUUGGAGCGGCCGUGAGCUACCCUAACCGGUAACUCACGGCUGCGAAAAGGUUCGAA
RNAcentral lists this ribosomal RNA (1371 nucleotides) under metagenome. Its description in RNAcentral is "SSU rRNA". It matches the Rfam family "Eukaryotic small subunit ribosomal RNA", at positions 366 to 1763 of the family's 1831-position model. The record is from RNAcentral.